AACGUACGCUGGCGGCACGCCUAACACAUGCAAGUCGAACGAAGUAGCAAUACUUAGUGGCAGACGGGUGAGUAACAUGUAGGUAUCUGCCCUUUGGCCUGGAAUAACACGAGGAAACUUGUGCUAAUACCGGAUAAGUCUUUACGGAGAAAGCUUUAUGCACCAUUGGAUGAGCCUGCACUUGAUUAGUUUGUUGGUGGGGUAAUGGCCUACCAAGACUGUGAUCAAUAGCUGAUUUGAGAGGAUGAUCAGCCACAUUGGGACUGAGACACGGCCCAAACUCCUACGGGAGGCAGCAGUGGGGAAUCUUGCACAAUGGAGGAAACUCUGAUGCAGCGAUGCCGCGUGAGUGAAGAAGGCCCUUGGGUUGUAAAGCUCUUUCGUCGGGGAAGAAAAUGACUGUACCCGAAUAAGAAGGUCCGGCUAACUUCGUGCCAGCAGCCGCGGUAAUACGAAGGGACCUAGCGUAGUUCGGAAUUACUGGGCUUAAAGAGUUCGUAGGUGGUUGAAAAAGUUAGUGGUGAAAUCCCAGAGCUUAACUCUGGAACUGCCAUUAAAACUUUUCAGCUAGAGUAUGAGAGAGGAAAGCAGAAUUUCUAGUGUAGAGGUGAAAUUCGUAGAUAUUAGAAAGAAUACCAAUUGCGAAGGCAGCUUUCUGGAUCAUUACUGACACUGAGGAACGAAAGCAUGGGUAGCGAAGAGGAUUAGAUACCCUCGUAGUCCAUGCCGUAAACGAUGUGUGUUAGACGUUGGAAAUUUAUUUUCAGUGUCGCAGGGAAACCGAUAAACACACCGCCUGGGGAGUACGACCGCAAGGUUAAAACUCAAAUGAAUUGACGGGGACCCGCACAAGUAGUGGAGCAUGUGGUUUAAUUCGAAGAUACGCGCAGAACCUUACCAACACUUGACAUGUUCGUCGCGACUCUAAGAGAUUAGAGUUUUCGGUUCGGCCGGACGAAACACAGGUGCUGCAUGGCUGUCGUCAGCUCGUGUCGUGAGAUGUUGGGUUAAGUCCCGCAACGAGCGCAACCCUCACUUUUAGUUGCCAUCAUUAAGUUGGGCACUCUGAAAGAACUGCCAGUGAUAAGCUGGAGGAAGGUGGGGAUGACGUCAAGUCCUCAUGGCCCUUACGUGUUGGGCUACACACGUGCUACAAUGGUAUCUACAACAGGAAGCAAGACUGCGAAGUUAAGCAAAUCCCUAAAAGAUACCUCAGUUCGGAUUGCACUCUGCAACUCGAGUGCAUGAAGCUGGAAUUACUAGUAAUCGUGGAUCAGCGUGCCACGGUGAAUGCGUUCCCGGGUCU
This 1306-nucleotide ribosomal RNA is filed under the name uncultured bacterium. RNAcentral's name for it is "bacterial SSU rRNA". It matches the Rfam family "Bacterial small subunit ribosomal RNA", at positions 28 to 1381 of the family's 1533-position model. The record is from RNAcentral.